GAUUGUCAGGCCUAACACAUGCAAGUCGAGCGGGGAAAGGUAGCUUGCUACAUUUCCUAGCGGCGGACGGGUGAGUAAUGCUUAGGAAUCUGCCUAUUAGUGGGGGACAACAUUCCGAAAGGAAUGCUAAUACCGCAUACGCCCUACGGGGGAAAGCAGGGGAUCUUCGGACCUUGCGCUAAUAGAUGAGCCUAAGUCAGAUUAGCUAGUUGGUGGGGUAAAGGCCUACCAAGGCGACGAUCUGUAGCGGGUCUGAGAGGAUGAUCCGCCACACUGGGACUGAGACACGGCCCAGACUCCUACGGGAGGCAGCAGUGGGGAAUAUUGGACAAUGGGCGAAAGCCUGAUCCAGCCAUGCCGCGUGUGUGAAGAAGGCCUUUUGGUUGUAAAGCACUUUAAGCGAGGAGGAGGCUACCGAGAUUAAUACUCUAGGAUAGUGGACGUUACUCGCAGAAUAAGCACCGGCUAACUCUGUGCCAGCAGCCGCGGUAAUACAGAGGGUGCGAGCGUUAAUCGGAUUUACUGGGCGUAAAGCGUGCGUAGGCGGCUUCUUAAGUCGGAUGUGAAAUCCCUGAGCUUAACUUAGGAAUUGCAUUCGAUACUGGGAAGCUAGAGUAUGGGAGAGGAUGGUAGAAUUCCAGGUGUAGCGGUGAGAUGCGUAGAGAUCUGGAGGAAUACCGAUGGCGAAGGCAGCCAUCUGGCCUAAUACUGACGCUGAGGUACGAAAGCAUGGGGAGCAAACAGGAUUAGAUACCCUGGUAGUCCAUGCCGUAAACGAUGUCUACUAGCCGUUGGGGCCUUUGAGGCUUUAGUGGCGCAGCUAACGCGAUAAGUAGACCGCCUGGGGAGUACGGUCGCAAGACUA
RNAcentral lists this ribosomal RNA (865 nucleotides) under uncultured bacterium. RNAcentral's name for it is "bacterial SSU rRNA". It matches the Rfam family "Bacterial small subunit ribosomal RNA", at positions 37 to 896 of the family's 1533-position model. The record is from RNAcentral.